UAGGGAAUAUUGGACAAUGGGGCAACCGUGCAUCCAGCAAUGCCGCGUGAGUGAUGAAGGCCUUAGGGUUGUAAAGCUCUUUUACCCGGGAUGAUAAUGACAGUACCGGGAGAAUAAGCUCCGGCUAACUCCGUGCCAGCAGCCGCGGUAAUACGGAGGGAGCUAGCGUUGUUCGGAAUUACUGGGCGUAAAGCGCACGUAGGCGGCUAUUCAAGUCAGAGGUGAAAGCCCGGGGCUCAACCCCGGAACUGCUUUGAAAUCUAGAUAGCUUGAAUCCAGGAGAGGUGAGUGGAAUUCCGAGUGUAGAGGUGAAAUUCGUAGAUAUUCGGAAGAACACCAGUGGCGAAGGCGGCUCACUGGACUUGGUAUUGACGCUGAGGUGCGAAAGCGUGGGGAGCAAAACA
RNAcentral lists this ribosomal RNA (404 nucleotides) under uncultured Sphingomonadaceae bacterium. RNAcentral describes it as "bacterial SSU rRNA". It matches the Rfam family "Bacterial small subunit ribosomal RNA", at positions 355 to 775 of the family's 1533-position model. The record is from RNAcentral. Lineage: Bacteria; Pseudomonadati; Pseudomonadota; Alphaproteobacteria; Sphingomonadales; Sphingomonadaceae.